UACGGAAGGGGCUAGCGUUGUUCGGAAUUACUGGGCGUAAAGCGCGCGCAGGCGGUUGGACAAGUGAGGCGUGAAAGCCCUGGGCUCAACCUGGGAAUUGCGUUUCAGACUGUCUGACUGGAGUUCGGGAGAGGGUGGUGGAAUUCCCAGUGUAGAGGUGAAAUUCGUAGAUAUUGGGAGGAACACCGGUGGCGAAGGCGGCCGCCUGGCCCGUAACUGACGCUAUAGCGCGAAAGCGUGGGGAGCAAACAGG
RNAcentral lists this ribosomal RNA (253 nucleotides) under uncultured bacterium. RNAcentral's name for it is "partial 16S ribosomal RNA". It matches the Rfam family "Bacterial small subunit ribosomal RNA", at positions 524 to 776 of the family's 1533-position model. The record is from RNAcentral.